CUCUAUAGCCAUGCCACCCUGAAUGAGCCCGAUCCCGUCCAAUCUCAGAAGCUAAACAGAGUCGAGCCUGGUCAGUACUUCGAUGGGAGACCACCUAGGAAGACCAGGUGCUGUAGGCA
Molecule: ribosomal RNA, 119 nt
Filed under: Pteropus alecto (black flying fox)
Lineage: Eukaryota; Metazoa; Chordata; Mammalia; Chiroptera; Pteropodidae
Source: RNAcentral